UAUGUAGUAAUAUGGUACCUAAAUGUGGGAUUCUAAGUUAAGAAUUCUCUUAAGUAGAUACGUAUGAAGAUACGUAUGAAGGUAUGUAUGUAUGUAUGUAUGAAUAUAAGUGGUAUGUAUGAAUGAAUGUAUGUAUGUAUGUAUGUAGGUGUGUAUGUAGGUAGUAUGUGUAUGUGUAUAUAUAUAUCCAAGUGAGUAUGUACGAAAGUGUGUGCACGUAUGUAGGGUUGUGAGAAGGCAUGUAAUAGGUAUGUAUGUAGACAUGUAUGCAUGUAUGUAUGUAGGUAUGCACGUAUGUAGGAACGUACGUAU
RNAcentral lists this long non-coding RNA (312 nucleotides) under Helianthus annuus (common sunflower). RNAcentral's name for it is "hypothetical non coding rna". Lineage: Eukaryota; Viridiplantae; Streptophyta; Magnoliopsida; Asterales; Asteraceae. The record is from RNAcentral.